RNAcentral lists this transfer RNA (75 nucleotides) under Prevotella sp. RNAcentral's name for it is "tRNA-His". It matches the Rfam family "tRNA". Rfam says of the family: Transfer RNA (tRNA) molecules are approximately 80 nucleotides in length. Their secondary structure includes four short double-helical elements and three loops (D, anti-codon, and T loops). The record is from RNAcentral. Lineage: Bacteria; Pseudomonadati; Bacteroidota; Bacteroidia; Bacteroidales; Prevotellaceae.
GGUGUCUCUAGUGUAGCGGGAACACGGCAGAUUGUGGAUCUGCAAUUCUGGGUUCAACUCCCAGGAGACUCCCCA